This 333-nucleotide ribosomal RNA is filed under the name Triticum aestivum (bread wheat). RNAcentral describes it as "partial small subunit ribosomal RNA". Lineage: Eukaryota; Viridiplantae; Streptophyta; Magnoliopsida; Poales; Poaceae. The record is from RNAcentral.
AUGAUACAUACGAACAAUGCUGCUGUUAUUUCCUUACUGAAGGAUGAUGCUUGCUUUAUCCAAGAAUUAUUCUCUAGGAUGGGAUCACCAAAUAUUUCUAUGGAAUCAAAAAGAGAAUUGGUGAGACAUUCUCUUAUCUUUUCUUAUACGAGUUUAUGGCUUCAUCACAUGAAGUAUCUUUUUCAUUAUCAUAUCUGUUUAUUGUUAUACGAGCUUAUGGCUUCAUCACAUGAAGUAUCCUUUUCAUUAUCAGAUCUGUUUAUUGAUAGACAUUAUUAUCAAUUCCUUCGCAUUGUGUCAUUGCUACAAAGGAAUUUAGUUUGGGUACUGUAA